AUGAACGCUGGCGGCGUGCUUAAUACAUGCAAGUCGAACGGAUGAGAUCGAGAAGCUUGCUUCUCUUUUGAUUCAGUGGCGAACGGGUGAGUAAUACGUAGGCAACCUGCCCCAAAGCGGGGGAUAGCAGUUGGAAACGACUAUUAAUACCGCAUAGGUAAUCGGAAGGCAUCUUCUGAUUAUUAAAGGUGCGUUUGCACCGCUGUGGGAUGGGCUUACGCUGUAUUAGCUGGUUGGUGAGGUAACGGCCCACCAAGGCGAUGAUACAUAGCCGGUCUGAGAGGAUGAACGGCCACAUUGGGACUGAGACACGGCCCAGACUCCUACGGGAGGCAGCAGUAAGGAAUUUUCGGCAAUGGACGAAAGUCUGACCGAGCAACGCCGCGUGAGUGAUGAAGGCCUUCGGGUCGUAAAGCUCUGUGGUAAAGGAAGAACAGUGCGGGUAGGAAAUGCCCCGCAUCCGACGGUACUUUACUAGAAAGUCACGGCUUACUACGUGCC
RNAcentral lists this ribosomal RNA (501 nucleotides) under uncultured organism. RNAcentral describes it as "SSU rRNA". It matches the Rfam family "Bacterial small subunit ribosomal RNA", at positions 29 to 509 of the family's 1533-position model. The record is from RNAcentral.